This 253-nucleotide ribosomal RNA is filed under the name uncultured bacterium. RNAcentral describes it as "partial 16S ribosomal RNA". It matches the Rfam family "Bacterial small subunit ribosomal RNA", at positions 524 to 776 of the family's 1533-position model. The record is from RNAcentral.
UACGUAGGGGGCUAGCGUUGUCCGGAAUCAUUGGGCGUAAAGAGCGUGUAGGCGGUCCGGUAAGUCCGCUGUGAAAGUCGGGGGCUCAACCCUCGAAUGCCGGUGGAUACUGUCGGGCUAGAGUGCGGAAGAGGCGAGUGGAAUUCCUGGUGUAGCGGUGAAAUGCGCAGAUAUCGGGAGGAACACCUAUUGCGAAGGCAGCUCGCUGGGACGUUACUGACGCUGAGACGCGAAAGCGUGGGGAGCAAACAGG